AGCUUCAGUAGCGUAUAUUAAAGUUGUUGCAGUUAAAAAGCUCGUAGUCGCAUUUCUGGCGAGAGGAUCCGGUCCGACCUUUUGGUGGGUUCUUGGGUCUCUUUCGCCAUCCUUGAGUGGUCCGUUCUGGCAUUAGUUUGUCGGAGCGUCAGCCGCUCAUCGUUUACUGUGAGAAAAUUAGAGUGUUCAAAGCAGGCUUAUGCCGUUGAAUAUAUUAGCAUGGAAUAAUAAGAUAGGACCUCGGUACUAUUUUGUUGGUUUGAGCACCAAGGUAAUGAUGAACAGGGACAGUUGGGGGUAUUUGUAUUUCGUUGUCAGAGGUGAAAUUCUUAGAUUUACGAAAGACAAACUACUGCGAAAGCAUUUACCAAGGAUGUUUUCA
RNAcentral lists this ribosomal RNA (382 nucleotides) under uncultured marine Chaetocerotaceae. RNAcentral's name for it is "SSU rRNA". It matches the Rfam family "Eukaryotic small subunit ribosomal RNA", at positions 587 to 972 of the family's 1831-position model. Lineage: Eukaryota; Bacillariophyta; Thalassiosirophyceae; Chaetocerotales; Chaetocerotaceae. The record is from RNAcentral.